This 253-nucleotide ribosomal RNA is filed under the name uncultured bacterium. RNAcentral's name for it is "partial 16S ribosomal RNA". It matches the Rfam family "Bacterial small subunit ribosomal RNA", at positions 524 to 776 of the family's 1533-position model. The record is from RNAcentral.
GACAGAGGUCCCGAGCGUUAGGCGGAAUCACUGGGCUUAAAGCGUGUGUAGGCGGAUUUGUAAGUACCUUGUGAAAUCCCACGGCUCAACCGUGGAACUGCUUGGUAUACUGCUUAUCUUGGGCCACUUAGGGGUUACCGGAACAAACGGUGGAGCGGUGAAAUGCGUAGAUAUCAGGAGGAACAUCUGUGGCGAAGGCGACUGCCUGGACCAGCACUGACACUGAGGCACGAAAGCGUGGGGAGCAAACAGG